GGGGGUAAUUUAAUUAAUUUUAAUUAAUAAAAAAAAUUUUUAUUUAAAGAUAUUUUAAUGGGGGUUAAAGUAUAUAAAAAGAAAAAAUUUUUAAGUUUAUAGGGAAGUAGUAUUGUAAAAGAAUAUUGAAAUAAGAUGAAAAUUUAAUUAUUGAGUAAGUAAAUUUAAUUUAUUGUAUCUUGUGUAUCAGAGUUUAUUAAAUAAUUUUUUUAGUUAAAAAUUUUUCGAAUUUAAAAGAGUUAAUUAAUUAAGAUUUUUAUUGUAGCAUAAAUAUGUUAAAUAAUUAAUUUGAAAUGAAACGUUAUUCGUUUUUAAAUAUAUCUAAUUUUUUUAGAAAUAAAUUUAAUUUAGAAUUUUUUUUUUUAUUUAUUAAAUUAUUUUAUUAAAUAAAAUUUAAAUUUAAUAUUUUAGGGGAUAAUCUUUAAAUUAAAUUUUUAUAAUAGUAAUUAUAUAGUUAAAUUAAAAUUUUUAGAAUUUAUAUUGUUUAUAAAAUAUAUUUUUUUGUAAAAAUUUUUAAUUAAAAUAAAAUUUUUAUUUAUAGUUUAAUUUUAUAUAAAAAAAUAAUUUUUAAUGGGGAAAAAUUAGUUAUAAUGAUAAAAUUAGUAUAAUUUAGAUAAAUAAUUAAUUAAAGUAAAUUUAUAAAUAAAAAAAAGGAAUUCGGCAAAUUAAAAUAUUCACCUGUUUAACAAAAACAUGUCUUUUUGGUUAUAAUUUAAAGUCGAGUCUGCCCACUGAUAUGUAAUAUUAAAGGGCUGCAGUAUAUUGACUGUACAAAGGUAGCAUAAUAAAUAGUCUUUUAAUUGAAGACUUGUAUGAAAGAUUUGAUGAAAUAUUAACUGUCUCUUUUUUAUAUUUAGAAUUUAAUUUUUUAGUGAAAAAGCUAAGAUUUAUUUAAAAGACGAGAAGACCCUAUAGAGUUUUAUAUUAAUUUAAUUUUAAAUUAUAUAUUUAAAUUUAAUUUUAAAGUUAAAUUAUUAUUUUAUUGGGGUGAUAAAAAAAUUUAAUAAACUUUUUUUUUUAUAUUUUACAUAGAUUAAUGAAUAAAUGAUCCAUAAAUUAUGAUUAUAAGAAAAAAUUACCUUAGGGAUAACAGCGUAAUUUUUUUUUUUAGUUCUUAUAAAAAAAAAAGUUUGCGACCUCGAUGUUGGAUUAAGAUAAAAUUUAAAUGCAGAAGUUUAAAAAUUUUGAUCUGUUCGAUCAUUAAAAUCUUACAUGAUCUGAGUUCAAACCGGUGUAAGCCAGGUUGGUUUCUAUCUUUAAAAAUUUAAAAUAUUUUAGUACGAAAGGAUUAAAUAUUUAAAAUAAUUUUAUGUAAAUGAAUUUUAAUAAUAAUAAUAUAAAUUAUAUAUAUAUAUAUAUAUCUAUAUAUAUAUAUAAC
This 1378-nucleotide ribosomal RNA is filed under the name Agathymus mariae mariae. RNAcentral describes it as "16S ribosomal RNA". The stretch from base 1086 to 1245 matches the Rfam family "Eukaryotic large subunit ribosomal RNA", at positions 2825 to 2984 of the family's 3401-position model. Lineage: Eukaryota; Metazoa; Arthropoda; Insecta; Lepidoptera; Hesperiidae. The record is from RNAcentral.